This is a long non-coding RNA of Xyrauchen texanus (razorback sucker), 2479 nucleotides long. RefSeq lists it as uncharacterized. The record is from RefSeq and is a predicted model, not a curated record. NCBI's taxonomy places the organism in Eukaryota, Metazoa, Chordata, Actinopteri, Cypriniformes, Catostomidae. The transcript is spliced from 4 exons.
GUGUGUGUGUGUGUGUGUGUGUGUGUGUUUCCCACAGGUCCGCUGGUGAACAAACAUCACCGUUCCCCUCGGCGAAGAGGACAGCAGCCCAAGCUCCUCAACAGCCCGGAAGACAGUUUUUAUUACAAUCAUCUCAACAGAAGUCUGGAUUAUCAGGGGAGCAAGAGGAAACCCAGAAAAUUGGGGCAAAUCAAACUGCUGGAUAGCGAGGAUGAAUAUUAUCAAUUACUGUCCGCAGUAGAGUCCAUCUCUGAGGAAGAAGUAUUAUCAGGCACCUCCCCAAGCCCUCCAUCCGCCCUGCCUCUUGUCAAUCCCACCAUCUCAUCCAGAUGAGCUGUGCUCUGUCCAUAACUCUGACUCCAGUUGGAAUCCCCCCUCUGUGUGCAGUGCAGGAGGAGAAAUCUUAAUCCCAUCAAAAGAACUGAUCUACUUCAACAUCAAGCACUCCAAACAGCUCAAAAAGGAACAGUUUAAAAGUCAUAGAUUAGAGACAUCUCUCUGUGGGUGUUUACUUGUAAACAAUUUUUUCUCUGUCUUGUUUUUAUUUUGUCUGCCCUUUACAUAUCAAAUAUCAUCUCCAGACAGUUUACUUGCCUGCAAAGCUCUUAAAUUACUCUUGGUAAACAACUUCAAAGCCUUUUACAUUUUUAUUACACAUUUGCCAUACUUAUUCAUUGAUUCUUGUCAUGUUUGUUGAGGUGACACAUGUUGGAGAUUGAGUUGCUCAUUGAAGGCUUGACUGGUUCGGGGCGGAGCAGAGGGAGGAGAACUGGAAAAUGUUCAGACUAUAUCAAAGAUUGGAUCUCCUCCUCUUUCUUUUUCUGACUGUGCAUCAUAGAACUUAGACAUUAUCAUCCUGUCACGUGCCACCUCCACAUUGUAAUGAGUUGAGUUUGACAAGCCCGGUUUGUUGUGGGACAUCAAUUGUUCUUUCUUAACUGAUUUGUCAUGUUUACUUAAAGAAGACAAUGAACAUUAGUCUCACUUUAAUCACAAGCAAUUAGUACAGCCAAAAGAGGAGUAAUUGAAUGUUUUAAAGGAUUUAUCCAACUGAUUUGUUGACUUAAAGAAAUACUGUAACCCAUCCUAAUUUAAAGACCAAUUUGAGAAAAUGUGUGUUUGCUAGCAUUAAAUAAAUUGAUGUAAUCAAAUUUGAUGUCUAAAUGUAAUGCUAAAACUUUUGAAAGAUUAAUCUUUAAUAGCUCUUCAAAUUUCAACAGGCAUGUGAAGUAAUUACCUUCGUGUGUGUGUGUGUGUGUGUGUGUGUGUGUGUGUGUGUGUGUGUGUGUGUGUGUGUGUGUCACUUUGUGGGGACCAAAUGUCCCCAUAAGGAUAGUAAAACCCAAAAUUUUUGACCUUGUGGGGACAUUUUGUCAGUCCCCAUGAGGAAAACAGCUUAUAAAUCAUACUAAAUUAUGUUUUUUGAAAAUGUAAAAAUGCAGAAAGUUUUCUGUGAGGGUUAGGUUUAGGGGUAGGGUUAGUUUUAGGGGAUAGAAUAUAAAGUUUGUACAGUAUAAAAACCAUUAUGUCUAUGGAAAGUCCCCAUAAAACAUGGAAACACUACGUGUGAGUGUGUGAGUGUGUGAGUGUGUGUGUGUGUGUGUGUGUGUGUGUGUGAGAGAGAGAGAGAUUUCAUUUGAUAUCUAUAUCUUUAAGGAAUAUAUGGUAAAUAAAUCAGAAAUGAACUUUUCCAUAUUUGCCCCAGACUGAUUUUCAGGGGCAUUUUUACUGUUUAUGUAACCAUUAAAAAAUAUACUUAGUUUCAUUCUUUUUUGUCUAAUACUACUAUUUAUAAGUUCAGAAACAUAAAUUCUCGAUGUAAGAUAAUUAUGAGAUAAUGUGUAUAACUAGGCUUAGUUAUUAAGAAAUGUAUUUAAAAAAAAAUAAUAAUUUUUUGGCAAUUCUGGUGCCAUUUUCCUCCCAUGCAACCCCUGGUAAUUUCUGACCCUGAUAUGUAUAACAUACAUAUGAAUUAUAUUUACAUAUAAAAUAACUAAUUAUUGAAGUAUCUUAAUAUAUUUUUAAUUUCAUGUAUAUAUAAAUAUACUGUAUACAGACAAACACAUAUAUACAUAUUCAUUUAAACAUAAACAUUUGGGUGCGUUUAUUAAUUUUGUUUCUGUUGUUAUUAUUGCAUUUGCUCCCUGGAUAACUUUAUUCGUACAAUUUAUAAUUAUACUCUUAGGUUAUCAACACUAGAUUAAAUCUAUUCUACUUAUUUUUUUUGUUUGUUUUUUUCAUGUUUCUUAAUGGGUUUAAUUUGUAUCUAUUCUACUUAUUCUGCCCAUUGCACGUGCACUCUUCACGUGGCACAAAAUUACACACCCCAUGUGUUUACUUUUUUGAAUACUGAAUUUGUUUUGUAAUGUUAUAUAUCUUUCUAAUUAGUGAAUAAAUGACAUUUUAACUGUGAAUUGUUGGAGCAACCCAUCAAGUUGAAUCUCUUGUAAACUGUAUGUCCAAUAAACGUCGAUUCUCC